UCAUGAUUCUACAUACUUAUUUCAUUCUUUUUUAUUUUUUUUCUCAACAAUCAAAAAUCUAUAUCUAAUUCAUUUUUACUCCAAAUUUGAUGAGGUUUUUUUCACCAUUCUCCUUGUGAUGUGUAGUUUUUUAUGAUGAAUUUUAAUAUUUUUGUGCACAUGUGAAUUUUAAAAUUGCCUAGGGUUUGAUUGAAUGUGUCCAAUUUGUGUAUACCAUGCCAUUUUUGCUUGUAAAAUGAU
RNAcentral lists this long non-coding RNA (240 nucleotides) under Lathyrus oleraceus (garden pea). Its description in RNAcentral is "Pisum sativum (pea) long non-coding RNA (PSAT_LNC032004)". The record is from RNAcentral. Lineage: Eukaryota; Viridiplantae; Streptophyta; Magnoliopsida; Fabales; Fabaceae.